GCCUACGGGGGGCAGCAGUGAGGAAUAUUGGUCAAUGGGCGGGAGCCUGAACCAGCCAAGCCGCGUGAAGGAAGAAGGCGCCAGGCGUCGUAAACUUCUUUUGUCGGGGAACAAAGGGCGCCACGUGUGGCGUUGUGAGUGUACCCGAAGAAAAAGCAUCGGCUAACUCCGUGCCAGCAGCCGCGGUAAUACGGAGGAUGCGAGCGUUAUCCGGAUUUAUUGGGUUUAAAGGGUGCGUAGGCGGUCUGGAUAGUCAGCGGUAAAAGCCCGGGGCGCAACCCCGGCGAUCCGUUGAAAC
Molecule: ribosomal RNA, 298 nt
Filed under: uncultured bacterium
Lineage: Bacteria
Description: partial 16S ribosomal RNA
Rfam family: Bacterial small subunit ribosomal RNA
Source: RNAcentral